UGUUAGAGUGACAGAGAAAGAGAUGUGGUUUGUUCCACCCUUCCUGACAGUGGAAGGAUAAGGAAAACACAGCAACAAAGAAUUAUGUGUAAAACAGUUGCCCAGAACUGAAAUGCUUUUUCUCCCAGCAGGGUGGGAGCUUAGCACAACAAUGAAGCUGCAAGAACAUAGCCUGGUUCAAUUUUUGAACACUGCAGAAGGCUACAAGGACACCUAAGCUGCAGAUAAACUUGCAAGUAGCUUCCAGAUUCUCCACACCAGUGAGAUAGAUGGAGCGGUGAAUCACUUGCUGCUAAAUACAAAGGGAAUAAACCAGAGAUUAAUUUGGAUGAACAAAGCAUGCAGUUGCAGAAUCAAGACAGCCUCAGCUUGAACUGAUCUGGAUCAUCUUUGAAACCAAUGGCGGGAACUAAAAAUCAAAAUAAUUACAUUAAACAAUGGAAGUAAUGAUCAAAAAUAUGAAGAUGUGUAAUUUCAUAAAUGCUUGAGCUGAAACGCAGGAAGUUUCUGGAGCCUCUGAAGAGGGAACAGUUCCCGUCAGUAACAUUACAUUCUUGCCUUCAACCUUGCAUCUUGAUAAACUGUCAUACAUAAUCACCACGUUUAUUAAAAUGUCUUGUUACAGAAAAAUCACUUAUCUUUUAGUGGAAUUAUGUGACUGAUCUCUCAAAGACCUUGCAGGUCUGAAAGCUGACAUUAUUCUGAAGUUCUAAUUAAGGAACAAAAAGCAAAAUGAGUAAGCUCUUCUUCGCAAGCAACCACUGCAGUUCCAGCAGCACUUCAUUUGCUGGAAACCUCCUCCACUUACCACUGCACUUUCAGAUGUUCACAGACCUACAGCCGUACCCACAUCUCCAGCUGCUGGACUUCCAGGCCAUGAGAUGCCAUGUGUUGGGCCUUAUGAUGGGAGAGUCCCUAACCCACCAGGGCUCAACUGACACAAAGAAAAUCAUCCAGACAAUGGAGAAGAAGGAAGAGUCAAGUCUAAGCAAUUUCAGGAAGCUUGUAUCCAGGACCUGCAGUAACAGCUGUCUGUAACACUCGGUACAUCAGAAUAGUAGUUCUGCUAGCCUUCUGCCCAAGAGCGCACAAAACACAGCUUUGUAUGCCUCUGUCUUUCUUGGCUUUGGCACACCUUAAAUUCUGUUUUCAGGUA
Molecule: non-coding RNA, 1156 nt
Organism: Phalacrocorax carbo (great cormorant)
Lineage: Eukaryota; Metazoa; Chordata; Aves; Suliformes; Phalacrocoracidae
Source: RefSeq, a predicted model, not a curated record